GAUGAACGCUGGCGGCGUGCCUAAUACAUGCAAGUCGAGCGAACGGACGAGAAGCUUGCUUCUCUGAUGUUAGCGGCGGACGGGUGAGUAACACGUGGAUAACCUACCUAUAAGACUGGGAUAACUUCGGGAAACCGGAGCUAAUACCGGAUAAUAUUUUGAACCGCAUGGUUCAAAAGUGAAAGACGGUCUUGCUGUCACUUAUAGAUGGAUCCGCGCUGCAUUAGCUAGUUGGUAAGGUAACGGCUUACCAAGGCAACGAUGCAUAGCCGACCUGAGAGGGUGAUCGGCCACACUAAAACUGAAACACGGUCCAGACUCCUACGGGAGGCAGCAGUAGGGAAUCUUCCACAAUGGGCAAAAGCCUGACGGAGCAACGCCGCGUGAGUGAUGAAGGUCUUCGGGUCGUAAAACUCUGUUAUUAGAGAAGAACAUAUGUGUAAGUAACUGUGCACAUCUUGACGGUACCUAAUCAGAACGCCGCGGCUAACUAC
This 494-nucleotide ribosomal RNA is filed under the name uncultured bacterium. RNAcentral describes it as "partial 16S ribosomal RNA". It matches the Rfam family "Bacterial small subunit ribosomal RNA", at positions 28 to 504 of the family's 1533-position model. The record is from RNAcentral.